UUUUUUUUUUUUUGCCAGAAUUUAGGAUUGAUAUAUAUAACACUAAGUAUAAGAUGGGUUUUAGAUCAGCUGCUGAUGGCAGUUUUUUAAUUUUAGAAGAAAUUGCAGCUACUGAAUUAUCCUACUUAAUCUCAAUUUAAACAGAUAAAUCUAAAAAAUAAAAUCCAGGGAGGAGACAGAAACUACAAUUUGUUACAAUGACUUACUAGAGAAAUGAACAAAAACACAGAAAUUGCUUAUGCUGCUAGAUGUGAAAAGCAAUGCUCCAACAUCUGCCUUAAACUUCCUAAAAUCAUCAAGAAAUCCAACCAUUCAGGAGUUCAAUGAAGCCACCCAGCCAGAGACCGGCUGAAUCAGGCCCUACAAGAGACAAGGGAGACAGUCCGAGCUGUCCCAGAGUCACAUAGUCGCUCACAUUUGGAAAGGUAAUUUCUUAUUUCUGGAAGUGGGAAAACUACCUGACAAUAAUCCCAAUAUUUUCUAGAUUCCACAAAUGGGGCUUUUAAAAUGGCAUGCUAAUCAAUUCUGUGAUGUGGGUUUCUAAGGUCAAAAUGGGGCCGUAAAAGGUCACUGACAACCAUUCAGGAGGUAAAGAAAAUCCUAAUUCCUAAGGGAGAACUUCUGAGAUAUUGACUAAAAAUGAAGCUUGGAGGGAGACUGAGAUAAACUCCCUGCUUCUGUGUCAUCAAGGGACCCAGUCAAAAACUUGUGCUUCCUCUUCCAACUACAAAACUGCAAAUCUACACAAUUUUUAGUCAUGUCAUAUUUUAGGCAAAAUCAUUUCACUCAGUAUUGAUUUAGCAUCUUUUCUCUGCUGCAAAAUUGGGAAUGUUCAAAAUAAAUUCAAUUCAAAAUUUUAAUGGCAAAGUAAUGCCUUCCAGUGUUGUGGAAUUUAAAAGCCCUUGCUGACAGCUGUCGUACCCACGGGAGGAGAUGCGGAGUAAUACUGCAAAUGAAGUCCAAAAUAUCCCUCGUACCAAUUUCAUUUUAUUCAGUAAUUUCAUUCUUGCUUUCAAGUCCCAGAGAAUACAGAAAGCAGGUGUCUGCCUCACUAAUCAUAGCCCAGGGUUUAAUAAUUCAAUGUUGGGCCUCCUUAGAAAAAGUCUCUAAGGGAAACACUUAAUGUAGCGUAUGGCAAGCUUUCCCUAAUGAGCAAUUCAGCACGAGUUUUGCAAGAUCCUGGGAGAUAAAAGGACACACUCUGGAGAAUUAUGAAUCUGACUGGAGAUCACUGACUUCCUCUGAACUUCCUGCCUGCCGGCAUCCAUUGAGGAAGGGUAUCAAUCCCAAUUUUAAACAGGCCAAGGAAGAAAUCUCAGUAUCUUUCUUGGAAAUUUUCUCCUUCACACAGUACAUAUACAGCACUUGGCACAGUGGCUGGCACUCAAUCGGGCGAGGUAUAAAAAUGGGUAUUCAGCCUAAAUUUUUCUGGAAAAUGCCCUUCUACUGGCAAGAUGAAGGCAAUCGCCACACAGCCCGAAUACCUCAUGGAUUCAUCCUUGGUUUCUCUUCCUUCAGGGUCCUUU
RNAcentral lists this long non-coding RNA (1526 nucleotides) under Macaca fascicularis (crab-eating macaque). RNAcentral's name for it is "lncRNA (ENSMFAG00000049895.1)". Lineage: Eukaryota; Metazoa; Chordata; Mammalia; Primates; Cercopithecidae. The record is from RNAcentral.